AACGCUGGCGGCAUGCCUAACACAUGCAAGUCGAACGAGACCUUCGGGUCUAGUGGCGCACGGGUGCGUAACACGUGGGAAUUUGCCUCGGGGUAUGGAAUAACUCAGGGAAACUUGAGCUAAUACCAUAUAAUGUCUUCGGACCAAAGAUUUAUCGCCCUGAGAUAAGCCCGCGUAGGAUUAGCUAGUUGGUGAGGUAAAGGCUCACCAAGGCGACGAUCCUUAGCUGGUCUGAGAGGAUGAUCAGCCACACUGGGACUGAGACACGGCCCAGACUCCUACGGGAGGCAGCAGUGGGGAAUUUUGGACAAUGGGCGCAAGCCUGAUCCAGCAAUGCCGCGUGCAGGAUGAAGGCCUUCGGGUUGUAAACUGCUUUUGUACGGAACGAAACGGUGAGCUCUAAUACAGUUUGCUAAUGACGGUACCGUAAGAAUAAGCACCGGCUAACUACGUG
RNAcentral lists this ribosomal RNA (454 nucleotides) under uncultured bacterium. Its description in RNAcentral is "bacterial SSU rRNA". It matches the Rfam family "Bacterial small subunit ribosomal RNA", at positions 32 to 507 of the family's 1533-position model. The record is from RNAcentral.